CUUUCUUGUGUUCUACCUGUUUCAAAUGCUGAGAGUGAGUGAAAGUUCUGAAAUUCAGUGAUGAUGCUUGCCAGUCAAGUGUAAUCAGAUUAAGGACAUAAUCCUUCAGGCUUCCAACAAAGCCUUAGCUAAAUUUUUACGUAACAAGUAAAGUGUAAGCGAUCUCUGGUUUAAAAAGAUAAUGAUUAAUCGGAAUGGGAACGUGAAAAUUGAGAGAAUGAUGUCUUAAAACAGUCCCUCCAAAAAAGUUGGAAAUUAGAAGUGGAAAGAAGUCAGAAAACCGCAGUGGAGAGUUACCAGAAUUUAGAAAAUUUACUAUUUCAGCUAUAUCCCCUUUUUUAAUGGUAAACAUAAAUUUUGCUAAUGGUAAAAAUCUUAUGU
Molecule: long non-coding RNA, 381 nt
Filed under: Bos taurus (domestic cattle)
Lineage: Eukaryota; Metazoa; Chordata; Mammalia; Artiodactyla; Bovidae
Description: long non-coding RNA NONBTAT021482
Source: RNAcentral